This 386-nucleotide ribosomal RNA is filed under the name uncultured bacterium. RNAcentral describes it as "bacterial SSU rRNA". It matches the Rfam family "Bacterial small subunit ribosomal RNA", at positions 28 to 414 of the family's 1533-position model. The record is from RNAcentral.
GACGAACGCUGGCGGCGUGCUUAACACAUGCAAGUCGAACGCUGAAGCCCGCUUGCGGGUGGAUGAGUGGCGAACGGGUGAGUAACACGUGAGUAACCUGCCCUUCACUUUGGGAUAACCUUCGGAAACGGGGGCUAAUACUGGAUAUGACUCAUGGCCGCAUGGUUGUGGGUGGAAAGAUUCUUUGGUGGGGGAUGGGGCUCGCGGCCUAUCAGCUUGUUGGUGGGGUGAUGGCCUACCAAGGCGACGACGGGUAGCCGGCCUGAGAGGGCGACCGGGCCACACUGGGACUGAGACACGGCCCAGACUCCUACGGGAGGCAGCAGUGGGGAAUAUUGCACAAUGGGCGCAAGCCUGAUGCAGCGACGCCGCGUGGGGGAUGACGG